GAGUUUGAUCGUGGCUCAGAUUGAACGCUGGCGGCACGCCUAACACAUGCAAGUCGAGCGGUAACAUGGUGUGUAGCAAUACACAUUGAUGACGAGCGGCGGACGGGUGAGGAACACGUAGGAACUUACCUUUUAGAGGGGGAUAACUAAGGGAAACUUUAGCUAAUACCGCGUAAUGUCGAAAGACCAAAGCUGCCGCAAGGUGGCGCUAAAAGAGAGGCCUGCGUCCGAUUAGCUAGUUGGUGGGGUAAAGGCCUACCAAGGCGAUGAUCGGUAACUGGUCUGAGAGGACGACCAGUCACAUUGGGACUGAGACACGGCCCAAACUCCUACGGGAGGCAGCAGUGGGGAAUCUUGGACAAUGGGGGCAACCCCUGAUCCAGCGAUGCCGCGUGGGUGAAGAAGGGCCUUCGGUUGUUAAG
RNAcentral lists this ribosomal RNA (422 nucleotides) under uncultured Gammaproteobacteria bacterium. RNAcentral describes it as "bacterial SSU rRNA". It matches the Rfam family "Bacterial small subunit ribosomal RNA", at positions 9 to 430 of the family's 1533-position model. Lineage: Bacteria; Pseudomonadati; Pseudomonadota; Gammaproteobacteria. The record is from RNAcentral.